CUCUCUCCUUUUCUUCUCUGAUUUUCAUUUAAUCUCAAUUGCUUAAGCUAAUUCCCCACGCCCCCUUGUGGAGUCCUGCUCUGUUGUAGAUUAGGUAACGUUAUAGAUGGUCCCUGCUACACACCGUCUCUUUCCCUGGGACAAUCAGGGGCAACAUCUGGUGCGAUUUUACUGUCUGAAUGGAAUUUAGUCCUUAAUAUCAAAAUAAGGUAUGAGAAGAGUCCACUUAACUUAACAGAGCGUAGGUCGUCAAGUCAAAGGUCAUCAGGGCAAUGCUGCAGUAGGAGAGAGUUAUAACUAAACAGAGCAUAGGUCGUCAGGUCAAAAGUCAUCAGGUCAAAGGUCGUCAGGUAAAUGCUGUGCUAGGAGAGAGUUAUAACUGAACAGAUUGUAGGUUGUCAGGUCAACGGCAUCAGAUCAUAGGUCGUCAGGUUGAUAGUGUGGUCGGAGAGAGUUAUGACUGAACAGAGCAUAGGUCGUCAGGUCAAUGGCAUCAGAUCAUAGGUCGUCAGGUUGAUAGUGUGGUAGGAGAGAGUUAUAACUGAACAGAGCGUAGGUUGUCAGGUCAAUGGCAUCAGAUCAUAGGUCGUCAGGUUGAUAGUGUGGUAGGAGAGAGUUAUAACUGAACAGAGCGUAGGUUGUCAGGUCAAUGGCAUCAGAUCAUAGGUCGUCAGGUUGAUAGUUUGGUAGGAGAGAGUUAUGACUGAACAGAGCGUAGGUCGUCAGGUUAAAGGUCGUCAGGUCAAUACUGUGGUAGGAGAGAGUUAUAAC
Molecule: long non-coding RNA, 771 nt
Organism: Gadus macrocephalus (Pacific cod)
Lineage: Eukaryota; Metazoa; Chordata; Actinopteri; Gadiformes; Gadidae
Exons: 2
Source: RefSeq, a predicted model, not a curated record